RNAcentral lists this transfer RNA (71 nucleotides) under Camelus bactrianus (Bactrian camel). It matches the Rfam family "tRNA". From Rfam's summary of the family: Transfer RNA (tRNA) molecules are approximately 80 nucleotides in length. Their secondary structure includes four short double-helical elements and three loops (D, anti-codon, and T loops). Further hydrogen bonds mediate the characteristic L-shaped molecular structure. tRNAs have two regions of fundamental functional importance: the anti-codon, which is responsible for specific mRNA codon recognition, and the 3' end, to which the tRNAs corresponding amino acid is attached (by aminoacyl-tRNA synthetases). tRNAs cope with the degeneracy of the genetic code in two manners: having more than one tRNA (with a specific anti-codon) for a particular amino acid; and 'wobble' base-pairing, i.e. permitting non-standard base-pairing at the 3rd anti-codon position. RNAcentral also lists the same sequence under 1 other name. The record is from Rfam by way of RNAcentral. Lineage: Eukaryota; Metazoa; Chordata; Mammalia; Artiodactyla; Camelidae.
GAGGGUAUAGCUCAAUGGCAGAGUGCCUGCUUAGCGCGCACGAGGCCCUGGUUCAAUUCCCAGUACCUCCA